RNAcentral lists this ribosomal RNA (498 nucleotides) under uncultured bacterium. RNAcentral's name for it is "partial 16S ribosomal RNA". It matches the Rfam family "Bacterial small subunit ribosomal RNA", at positions 28 to 523 of the family's 1533-position model. The record is from RNAcentral.
GAUGAACGCUAGCUACAGGCUUAACACAUGCAAGUCGAGGGGUAGCAGGGUAGCAAUACCGCUGACGACCGGCGCACGGGUGAGUAACACGUAUCCAACCUUCCCAUAACUCGGGGAUAGCCUUUCGAAAGAAAGAUUAAUACCCGAUAGUACUUAACAAAGGCAUCUUUGAUAAGUUAAAGAUUUAUUGGUUAUGGAUGGGGAUGCGUUCCAUUAGAUAGUUGGUGAGGUAACGGCUCACCAAGUCUUCGAUGGAUAGGGGUUCUGAGAGGAAGGUACCCCACAUGGGUACUGAGACACGGCCCAAACUCCUACGGGAGGCAGCAGUGAGGAAUAUUGGUCAUUGGGCGAGAGCCUGAACCAGCCAAGUAGCGUGAAGGAUGAAGGUCCUAUGGAUUGUAAACUUCUUUUAUAGUAGAAUAAAGUGAUCCACGUGUGGAUUUUUGUAUGUAUACUAUGAAUAAGGAUCGGCUAACUCCGUGCCAGCCGCCGCGGUAA